This 301-nucleotide ribosomal RNA is filed under the name uncultured bacterium. Its description in RNAcentral is "partial 16S ribosomal RNA". It matches the Rfam family "Bacterial small subunit ribosomal RNA", at positions 509 to 809 of the family's 1533-position model. The record is from RNAcentral.
CAGCCGCCGCGGUAAUACAGAGGGUGCGAGCGUUAAUCGGAUUUACUGGGCGUAAAGCGUGCGUAGGCGGCUUCUUAAGUCGGAUGUGAAAUCCCUGAGCUUAACUUAGGAAUUGCAUUCGAUACUGGGAAGCUAGAGUAUGGGAGAGGAUGGUAGAAUUCCAGGUGUAGCGGUGAAAUGCGUAGAGAUCUGGAGGAAUACCGAUGGCGAAGGCAGCCAUCUGGCCUAAUAAUGACGCUGAGGUACGAAAGCAUGGGGAGCAAACAGGAUUAGAUACCCCCGUAGUCCCUGUCUCUUAUAU